Molecule: long non-coding RNA, 634 nt
Filed under: Eucalyptus grandis
Lineage: Eukaryota; Viridiplantae; Streptophyta; Magnoliopsida; Myrtales; Myrtaceae
Description: long non-coding RNA (EGRA_LNC005196)
Source: RNAcentral
GAAACCAAUCCAAAGUCCUCGCAUAAGUUUUUAGUUUUAGCUUACUCUCCUACUAACUCACCCUCAAAUGGCACGUCAUGCCGAUCGCCUUGCCGAUAUUGGGAGGGAGGGUUUCGAUCUAUUGGACAGAUUUUAUGGUGGAGGGGCAUCCAAUCGAGGACCAAAGAAGCAAUACAAUGCCCCACAGCAGUAUGCUCCCGUUCCUAGCAACGAGAAAUACAAUGCCCCACUGCAGUAUGCUACCAAAUACAAUGCCCCACAGCACCAUGCUCCCGUUCCUAGCAACGAGAACAUAAUCGAUUGCAAGAAGGCCGCCGAAAAAUACAAAGGAGUGGUGAUCAUGGAGCACUGCAAGAAGAGGUUUGUCGGCUGGCGAUUUUGAGGUUUCUCGCGCUGUAAACUUGUAAUGGUUCGAGUAACUCCCUAGAAGGUAGAAGUAAACCGGCCAUACAAGUCCUUGUCACGGUUUUUGUCAUUUUUGUCGUUUUGAAUCUAGUACUAUGCUUAUGUGUCUUUUGUUUCUUGCUUUCUAAAGGUUAGUUGUAUACUUGGAUGUGUCUGAGCUAGUAACUGGACCUCCUUUUCUUAACUAAAUGUUUCACUUUUUACUCCUAUUUCUGGUCAAAUUUACACC